RNAcentral lists this long non-coding RNA (4431 nucleotides) under Nicotiana tabacum (common tobacco). RNAcentral's name for it is "long non-coding RNA (NTAB_LNC019352)". The record is from RNAcentral. Lineage: Eukaryota; Viridiplantae; Streptophyta; Magnoliopsida; Solanales; Solanaceae.
CUGUAGCCUCCUGCUUAUAAGUGUGGUGCAUGACACACCUAUAAACAAGUCUCUACUAGACACAACUUGUAGACUUCCUAGGAUAGAACUGCUCUGAUACCACUUUUGUCACAAUCCAAACCAAUGGGCCGCGACGGGUACCCGGUACCUUACUCAAAUGAGUACCAAAAUGACAUGUCUUUUCAUGUCAUACUCUAAUAAAUAACUGAGUCAUUGAGGCUACCGUGAAAUAGGUAGAAUACAACAAGUAAUGCCAACUUAUACAUAAUACAUAUGGGACUUUAAGACCAAAAUAACCACUUGAACACUAAACAUAAGCCAACAAGGCCAUACAAUCUUUUACGUACAUGACAUCUGUCUACAAACCUCUAAGAAUACAUAAUUUUCAUAAAGGUCGGGACAGAGUCCCGCCAUACCAAACAAUACAUAUCUAACUCAUACUCACCAAACAAGCAACUCCGAAGCAAAUGUAGCGUACCAACAUUUUCUGCUGAGCUGAUAGCCUACUUCAAGGGCUCUUGACCUGUCUACCAGGACCUGCGGGCAUUAAACGCAGCGUCCCCAAGCAAAAAUGGACGUCAAUACGAAUAAUGUACUGAGUAUGUAAGGCACAUAUAUAAGUGCAUAAUAGACAUGGUGGAAAUAUAGAUUAAAUGACUCCACCUGUAAGUCUGAAUAACUUUGUGAAUGAUGAAAUAAUUAUAGUAUCAUACAUAUGCGUAUGAAUGUCAUGUCGUGCAUAGGUACAUAUUUUAUAACAUCAUCAGCCUCUGAGGCAUCUCAUCGUAUCAUCUUGGCUAUUGUGGGCAAAAUCAUAAAUGUAUAUCAGCUAAUCUGGUGGUGGUGCGUACAUAACGCCAUGACCUUUCCCAUAUCCCAUAUACAUACAUAUAUACGUGUAUAUAAUGCCAUCUCGCCAUAGGUCAAUGUACAUGAAUGCAAUGCGUGAAAAUUAGGUUAAUAAAAUCUUUCAGAAUGUCAAAAGACUAUUUUGCAUUUGAGUAAUAUCAUAAAGUAAACUCUUUUUAACUUUCGUAUUUUUCUGAGACCCAUGAACAGAUGAUAGAAUAAUAUGACACAUGCGGAAUCAAGAAUAUAGGCAUCUCUAAUAUUUCUAUGAAUAGAGUCAUGUAGGGAAAUUGUGCAUUUGCGCGUUUCAUUUUUAUCGUAUGGAUCAUGCCAAAAGAAAGAAGGAACAGCCUUAACAUACCUGGAUCAAUUUAGUUGAUAAUUCCUCUAACACAUGUCUCUUGCGAAUAAACAUGUAAUGGCGAGAUCGGAAUAGGGAACAAUUCUUUUGAAUUGCUCGACGUAAUAAUGUUGCUUACUACAAAAUCAUCUUAAUGAAAGUUUUUCUCAAGAGACAUAAUGUUAUUUUCAUAGAAUACUUGUUGGAAGCUCUUUAGCAAUUCAUUUUAAGCUUAAGAGAGGUAACGUUUCUUUAGCUAUAAAUUUUGAGCGAUUCCUUUUAAACUAAAGAAUGUUAUCUUUGUUUUUAGGUGGGACCUACUUAGGAUGACUAAGCCACUCCAAAGUGUGACAUUUAGGCAAGACUUUAAGAGUCAUCUUCAAUUAAAAGGGAUGGCUGCCACGUUCUUUGCCUUUUUAGGCUUAUCUUAAAGACUUGAUUAUUUACUAUUAUCUUAUUUAACUAAUUAAUCCCUUAUUAACCAAUAAUCAACCAAUUAGCCAUAUUGUUUAGAAUUAUCUCAACUUACUUAAAAUACUACUCACUUUUAACAUACCUUAUACACCUUAGUAUCAUAGUCAUGUAGUACCUUGUAUGACACUAGCCCAUAAAUACCGGUUAUUGUAGCUCAGACCGUAUUUUAUCCCAUAAUGUCAAACUUUGACGAAAUUUAUUUUCUUCGAUUUGCUUACCCUCUCACCUUCAAGAAUUUACUUAAUACUUAUUUGAAAUAGCAUAAUACUUAUAAUCCCAAAGUAAUCUCAUUCCUAAACUUACGUUAAUUAACUUACGACAAAACUUUAACGUACGAAAAUACGGGAUGUAUUAUCUUAUUUCCGAGAUUUCAUUAAUUUUCUUAUGUCGUACUUUUACGUACGAAAACAUGGGGUGUAACGUCAUUCCCCCUUUAGAACAUUCGUCCUCGAAUGUUGACUGAUGCACUUAUCAUUUUCAUGACUUAUGUAUUUCAAAUACUUUAGUACUCUCUUUUCUUCAUUCAUCUGCUUUUCGCGUUGCUCAAUGUCCCCACUCUACUAGGGACGAGAGUCAUACUAAGGUAAUAUUUAUCCCUUCCAGGCUUUCAGUGCCUAUCUUCGAACUUUUUUUUAUCGCACUAGUAUUCUCAUCUAAUUGUAAUAUUUUACGGUACACCAUCUGGGUGUUUGACAAGGAGAUCUAUUAGUACAUUUGGCAUAUCUUUCGGCAAUGUCAACUAACACAAGCAAUCCAUUUACCAAUUUGGGUUACCCUAACCAUAGCCAGAUCUUGAUAUCUCGUCCUUCUCUUAUUAUACCUGUUAGCCCCCACAUGGCAUAACUAAAAUGUGUGUGACCAAUUGUACAUACCUCUAUUACUUUAGAAUAUAAAUCAAAACAAAGACUUAUGUUCCUCUACAUUAUAAGCACGACAAACCUUCAUUAACUAGGCGCCUAGUACCCUUCUUCAUCUUUCUUCUUUUGGUUGUUGAAACUUGUAUUUAUCUUCUUAAUCUCUCAUUAUCUUUCACCAUAAAGAUAAAUAGGCAUUCUUGCCUUAAGGCUUAUUAUCAGGAAGCUUACACCUUUCAGUACACCCAUGAUCUGCUAAAGACCUCACAUUUACUUAUCGUAUGCAUCAUAAAAAAAUUGAAUUCCUCUAACCCAGCUCUUCCACAGCUAUCUCUCUUUCGAACCUUCUUUCCCGAUGUAGGCAUCGUCUUAUUACGAAUAAAAUAGAAUUUCGGAAUUUGAAUUCUUAUAAGUGAGGUCUACCACACAAUCUAGACUAAGAAGAAAGAGUAACAAUCCUAAAUGCCCUGUAGCCUCCUACUUAUAAGUGUGGUGCAUGACACACCCAUAAACAAGACUCUACUAGACACUACUUGUAGACUUCCUAGGACAGAACUGCUCUGAUACCACUUUUGUCACGACCCAAACCGAUGGGGCACGACGGGCACCUGGUACCUUACUCAACCGAAUACAAACAUAACAUAUCUUUUCAUGUCAUAUUAUCAUAGAUAACUAUGUCGGACAGGCUGUCUUGAAAUAGGUAGAAUAUAACAGGUAAUGCCAACUUAUACUUAAGACAUAUGGGCCUCUAAGAACAAAAUAACCACUUGAACACUAAACAUAGGCCGACAAGGGCAUACAACCUUUUACGCACAUGACAUCGGUGUACAAGCCUCUAAGUAUAUAUAAUUUACAUAAAGGUUGGGACAGAGUCCCGCUAUACCAAACAAUACACAUCUAACUCAGAGUAACCAAACAAGCAACUCUGAAGCAAAUGGAGCGCACCAACAUUUUCCACUAAGCUGAUAGCCUACUUGGAGGGCUCUCGACCUGUCUAUCGGGACAUGCGGGAAUGAAACGCAAUAUCCCCAGGUAAAAAGGGACGUCAGUACAAAUAAUGUACUGAGUACAUAAGGCACAUAAAUAAGUGCAUAACAGACAUAUAGGAAAUAUAGAGUAAAUGACUCCACCUAUAAGUUUAAAUAAAUUUUUGAAUCAUGAAAUAAUUAUAGUAUCAUGAAUAUGCGUAUGAAUGUCAUGUCGUGUAUAGGUACAUAUUUCAUACCAUCAUCAGCCUCUGAAAGAAUAACAUUAUAUCAUAUUGGCCACUGUGGGCAAAAUCAUCAGUGUAUACCAGCUAAUCAGGUGGUGGUGCAUACAUAACGCCAUGACCUUUCCCAUAUCCCAUAUACAUAUAUAUACAUACAUAUAUACGUGUAUAUAAUAACAUCUCGUCAUAGGUCAAUGUACAUGAAUGCAAUGCAUGGAAAGUACGUUAAUAAAAUCUUCGGAAUGUCAAAUGACCAUUUUGCCUUUGAGUAAUAUCAUAAUAUAAACUCGUUUCAAAUUUCGUAUUUUUCUGAGACCCAUGAACAUAUGAUAGAAUAAUAUGACACACGGGGAAUCAAGAAUAUAGGCAGCUCUAAUAUUUCUAUGAAUAGAGUCAUGUAUGAAAAUUGUGCAUUUGCACGUUUCAUUUGUAUCGUAUGGAUCAUGCCAAAAGAAAAAAGGAAUAGUCUUAACAUACCUGGAUCGAUUUCGUUGAUUAUUCCUCUAAUAGACGUCUCUUGUGAAUAAACAAUAACGGCGAGAUCAUAAUAGGAACAAUUCGUAUGAAUUGCUCGACAUAAUAAUGUUGAUUACUAAAAAAACAUCUUGAUGAAACUUUUUCUCAAGAGAGAUAACCUUAUUUCCAUGAAAUACUUGCUGGAAGCUCUUUAGCAAUUCAUUUUAAGCUUAAGAGAGGUAAUGUUU